This 4516-nucleotide long non-coding RNA is filed under the name Sus scrofa (pig). RNAcentral describes it as "lncRNA (ENSSSCG00045010563.1)". The record is from RNAcentral. Lineage: Eukaryota; Metazoa; Chordata; Mammalia; Artiodactyla; Suidae.
AGGGCCACACCCGCACCAUAUGGAAGUGCCCAGGGUGGGGUCAGUUGGAGCUACAGCUUCCAGCCUACACCAUAGCCACAGCAACAUGGGAUCCAGGCCGCAUCUGUGAUCUAUACCACAGCUCAGAGCAACACCAAAUCCUUAACUCACUGGGUAAGGACAAGGAUCGAACCCACAACCUCAUGGAUUCUAGUCGGAUUUGUUUCUGCUGUGUCGUAACAGGAACGCCCCAGAAUCUAUUUUAGAAGGAAGCAACCAAGAUCAAAGCAGCACUAGGCAUGAUGUGCCUUGUUUAUUUACCUGUUGGAACAGGCAAGGAAACAAAAAGGGACCUGUGCAUUUCUCGUGCUUUUCAAACAGGAGCUGGAUCUCUUGAAAUGGCCAAGGAGGAGAAGACAGUUUGAUUUAGAUUUGGCAUGGGUUUAGGGGAAGAUAUGCCUUUGUAGCUGGCCUUAAAUAUUAUGGCAACAUGGACUGAGUUAGUCUCCAAGGGAGAAGUUGCCACAUGUUGUAACAGAAGCCACUGGGCUUGGCAAGGAAGGGAAUGAAAGAACGACAAUGAAAGCAACGCCAUUUUCCCACCAUGGCAAAGAUGGGCUGACUGGGACCACGCCUGUCCCUCUUUUCCAGGGAAGACCAAACCGGGCACUGCCCUUUCAAAUCAGUCUUCACCAUAUUCUAAACAAUACUGAAUUCUGAAAUUAAUUUUAAUUCCUAAUGGCUUCUUAAGGAGACCUUUUUCUUCCUCCUUACUAAAAACAUAAACAAUUCAAAAAAGAGAUUCAAAAAGAGGAACUGCACCCCCCCAAAUUCUGAGUCUGAGAAGGCUGAGAGGGUGCACUUUUCAAAUGUAUUUAUUAAUUUUAGAGCUCCAGCAAGCUGUUUUGAUGCAUGCUCCAUCUCUUACCAUUUAAAUUUUUAAAACAUUAGAUUCUUACCUAUAUCUAUCUUGCUAUUUUGACUGGUCAUUCCCAAACGUAAACUGCCCUACUUUGAAGCUUUCCAAAGCUAAGAAGUGAAGUCUGAAAUAAAGCAGGCUGUUAACUGAGUUUUUACUGAAUGAAUCUGCAUUCUUGCAAGGCCUUGAGCUGGAUAUAAAUUCUUAGGCUUCUUCCAUUGACAGUAAUUCUUUUGGUCAUCAUCAUUAUAACUUAACUAUUUCUAAGAGGGAAAAAUAAGCUUGUAUAAAUUGUACUGAAUACAAUAUCUAGUUUCUACUUACGAGAAGCUCUCUGGGACUUGGGGCAAUGGUAGUCCCUAUCUCAAUGGGUAGUUCUAAGAAUUAAAAUCAUGAACAUCUGUAAAGCAACUAAGCUAGACCCGACCUAUAGAAAAUCAUCCAUAAAUGUGAGCAAUAAUUAUGCACGGCCAACCUAGUAACUUUAUUAUCCUGCUGAUGAGAAUAUGAGCGCCAAAGAGCAAGGGAGCAACUGAACCAUGCCUGGGCAAACAGCGUUCUCUCCUUGCUCUCUUAUUCGCUCUCUCCAUCACAGUGGGAGCACCACAUCCCUUCUACAAUUCACUUUCUUGUCCACACAACAAGCAAUAUACAUCUACACCAAGAAUGCCUAGAGAGGCCGGAUGCAGUUUUUGGCUAAUAUCAGCAGCAGCAGGACAAUUCACAACAUCUGUAUCUUCCUGUCUAUAUGAGUCAGGGUUUUCCAGAGAAAGACAGCGAAUAAGAUGUGGUAUGUGUGAGUGUGCAGAGAGAAAGACAAAGGCAGAGACAGACUGGCAGGUUGAAUUUCAAGGAAUUGACUUAGGUGACUAUGGGGCAGGCUAGUGACCCAGGAAAAGAUGACACUGUGGUCUCCAGACAGAAGGCCAUCUGGAGGCAGAAUUCCUUCUUCCUGGGGGGACAACAAUCUUUUUUUCUGAAGGACAUCAACAGAUUGGAUGAGGCCCACAUACACUAUGGAGAAUAAUUUGUUUUACUCAACAUCUACUGAUUUAAAUUUAAUCUCAGUUAAAAACACCUUCACAGGUAUUUUUAGACUUUUUAGACUGGUGUUUCACCAAAUAUCUAGGUACUGUGCUCUAGCUAAGGUGACACAGAAAAUUAGCCAUCACUCUCCUUUCCGAAUAGAUGGUGCUCAGUUUUCCUUUGCUGCAGGAAAAACCUCUCAAAAUGUACAGCAACUUCACUUUCUGAGAUCAGGUUAAAGGCAAGAAAUUCAGGAGUUCCCAUCGUGGCUCAGUGGUUAACGAACCUGACCAGCAUCCAUAAGGACUCAGGUUCAAUCCCUGGCCUUGCUCAGAGGGUUAAGGAUGCGGCGUUGCCUGAGCUGUGGUGUAGGUUGCAGACGUGGCUUGGAUCCUGUGUUGCUAUGGCUGUGGCAUAGCCUGGCGUCUUCAGCUCUGAUUCAACCCCUAGCCUGGGAACCUCCAUAUGCCACAGGUGCGGUCCUAAAAAGACAAAAAAAAAAAAAAAAAAGGCAAGAAAUUCAGAUGAGCCAUGCAUUUCUUAAGAGUAGGGAGAGUCAGGGGAAUACAUACCAGUCCACAGAAGGGACAGCUUCUAGAACAAAGACUGCAAACUUAUUAGGGCCAGACGAAUAAAACAAAUGAGUGAACCAAGCCGGGUGGGGUUAUGCACAGCCCCUGUACAACCGCUCAGCGGCCUCUGGCCACGGAAGGCUCCGAGUCUUUCUGCAACAGCCCCAGCACACAGCACGGCCCAGUGGGAGGACCACUGACUUUAAAGUCAGGUGGAAGGAGCCCUGUGUCCCAGUUCCACUGCACAUUAUCAGCAUGACCUGAAAUAAGUUACUUAAAACCCUUUGGGCCUCUGAGUUGUUUUGUGUGUGUGUGUGUGUGUGUGACCUGAGAUCGCUGUUGCUGACACUAUAUAAUUAUUGUGAAUACUCAGGGAAAAGUGCCUAAAAUGUGAUGGUUGAUAUACAUGUUUCCUACUUUGCUUUUAUUACCAUUUACAUAGCACUUAACUGUGUGCAAGACACAGCUCUUCAACUCAUUUAUUCCUCACAACAACCCUAGGAGGUAGCUUCUCAGUUUACAAAUGAAGCACAGAAAGGGUAAAUAAUUUGACCAGGGACACACAGCAGGCAAUACUAAAAGACUGUCAAAAACUCAAAAACAGGAGGAUUCAUUCUUAGAUGCUACAGGAGAUUCUAUCCCUCAAACUACCAUAAGCCUCUUUGUCUUUUCUUUCAACCUAAAUGUGCUGCAAGUACAUAGGGUACCUUCUGACUCCCACUCCCACUACUGACUCCCAUGCCGUGGGCUCCCCGCUGCUGUCACCCCACAGGUGCUCCCUCAAAGGCACUCCAGACUCGGGGCUCAGUGUUGUAGGGUGGCUCAUGGUCCCCUCUCCUCAACCCUGCGUUAACACCUUCUCUGCCGGGCACCAACCUCCGAGGGCUGCCUAGGCCUCUGAAAUUCCCUGUUCUCUUUGAAAGCCCCUCCAUGGUCUCCCUCUCAGAGGUAAGUCCCAGGUCCCAGCCCCUCCCUCCCCUGUGCUCCGGCUCCUCUUCCCUCUCAGAUGCUGGGCACCAAGUCCCUGCAAAGCGUGUUUUCAAUGCACACCUCAGGGCCCAAGCUCCACACCUCGUCCCUGGGCCGGCACCCACCUACACACGGACCCUCUCUGCUCCGGGUCCUGCCAGCAACGUGCGUGACUUCAGCUGCCACAGGAAAGCCCACCCAGCUCGGGGCUGUGAGCGCCUUAACUUUCCCGUCUCCCAGGGCCAGCCCUCCCCCGACCUGAGCGGCCCACUCAAUGACCCAGUUCUUUUCUCAUCAUCUGAACUGCUUUGCUUCUGAAAGGGUAAGCUCUGACAGCCCUCCUCUGACCACACCCUCUUAGCCUUCAGCUCCCUUUACUGACUACUCAGGAAACCAACUGGUUACUCAGGAUAACCAAAGCUACUAAUCCUAAACCCCAAAUCUGACCUUUCCACUGUGUGCCCUCGGAAAGUUCCAGCAACAAGCCAGCUGUCCAGCCAGAAGCUUACACGUUACCUUUUACUCCUCCCCCUCCUCGUCCAUAGCCAACGAACCCCAAUCUGCCACACGCCUCCCAUCCUUCAACACCUACCAGAGUCUCUCCUGCUAUCCGAUCACCAUCGCUUCUCAUCCAGAAUCCUCUGUCCAAUGGUGUCCUGACCAGCAUUUCGCUUCCAGGACCUGCUUCCCUGAAAUCUAUUCUUCCGCAGACAGAAUGGUCCUUCUAAAACAUGGGUCUAAUCACAUCACUCCAAUACUUAACAUCACGAAUACUGCCCUUCAGAAGAGGACAAGAUGCCCUAAUGCAGCUUCAGGGGCACUUCUUGAUCGAGCGGCUGCCCACCGCUCCUGCCUUCUCGCCUGUUUCCUCCGUUCCCGCUGCACACAGCUGCCAGGUCUUCAGAGGCCCCGGGUCUCCCUCUUGCCUUUGGGGCUUGGUGCACUCCAGUCCCCUUGCCCAUAACAUGCCUUUUUCUCAUGUUUCACCUGGGCUUUCCUCACGCGAGAGUCAUGGUAAAUAUUACAACUUCCUUAAGAGGCCACCCUGGUC